UACGAACUGUGCGAACGUUAUUCGGAAUCACUGGGCUUACAGGGUGCGUAGGCGGCUCAUCAAGUCAGGUGUGAAAGCCCCCGGCUCAACCGGGGAACUGCGCUUGAAACUGUUAGGCUCGAGUCAGCUAGAGGUACACGGAACUUCCAGUGGAGCGGUGAAAUGUGUUGAUAUUGGAAGGAACACCGGAGGCGAAAGCGGUGUACUGGGGCUGGUCUGACGCUGAGGCACGAAAGCCAGGGGAGCGAACGGG
RNAcentral lists this ribosomal RNA (253 nucleotides) under uncultured bacterium. RNAcentral's name for it is "partial 16S ribosomal RNA". It matches the Rfam family "Bacterial small subunit ribosomal RNA", at positions 524 to 776 of the family's 1533-position model. The record is from RNAcentral.